RNAcentral lists this long non-coding RNA (1116 nucleotides) under Daucus carota (carrot). Its description in RNAcentral is "long non-coding RNA (DCAR_LNC000524)". The record is from RNAcentral. Lineage: Eukaryota; Viridiplantae; Streptophyta; Magnoliopsida; Apiales; Apiaceae.
UGCAUUUGAUAAAAUAAUAAAUUUUUGAAUACUAUUCUUUAAGUUCUAAAAAUUUUAUAUUAAUUUUAUGACAUUUUAUCUAGAAUCUGCAAAAAAUGAAAAUCAUAUAUAAUUUAUUAAAAUCCAUAAAUUGUGGGUGUACACCAUUAAAAUCUAAGUUAAUACACCCUCUAGUUUUGUUUUGGUCUAAUAAUAAACGAAAAAAAAUUGAUAUUGAUCAAAUAUAAUUAUUUUAUGUUAGGUCCCGAUAGAGUGUAAUUUAAGCUAGAAGGGGGGGUUGAAUAGCUUAAUCACCAAUUUAAAAAUUGAUGUGGUGUAAUAAAAUUUAUCCCCCUUUUGAAUAGCUUUUAUCGAAAGUAUAGGCAGUUUAUGUGUGCGGAAGCAAUGUAAGAGUAAUACGACACACGAGAUUUUAUCCUGGUUCGCGGUGGCUAACUCAACAAUUGGAGUCCACUCACCCCUACUCCAGUCCCCGAGCUCCUCCCCGGACUCGAGAUUUUCUCUACUAUAAAGAAACUCCUUUACAGUAGGCGGAGAAGCCUUUACAAAUAUAUAUCUUGGAGCGUAACUUCCCGUUACCUCCUCACUAUAAAUGUAAACUUACAAGACUCUUCUUGGAGCGUAACUCCCCGUCACCUCCUCAAAGUCGUUGUACUCCGGGUGUAGUCUUUGAACUUCUAAACUUUUGCGGGUCUUGGAUCUUAGGUCUUAGGUCUUGGGUCUUUCCUCUUCCUCACGGUGCAAAGACGACUAACUCCCCGUUAGCUCGUCUAGGACUUGGGUCUUAGAACGAAGAUCACCUCACUUCACUUCACCUCACUGCAAAACUUAGAAAACAAUAUCUACGACAAAUAAUCCUUGUUUAUAAAAAGGGUUUUGGACUAGACACAACUAGGCCGAUAGUGUAUAUAUAUAUGUUGAUGAUAUAUAUAUUUAAAGUAUACUUUCCGAAUGAUUUAGAAAGAUUUAAGUAUACUUGAUGUUUUACUCCAAUACUAAAGAUGAGUAUAUAGUUGGAGUAAUAAAAGUCUUAUAAGCUUUAGUCUCGCUUAAGACUUGUAUAAUACUUGUCUUUUUGACUAAGUAUAUAUUACUUCGAAUAUACGUCUAUUUUCG